RNAcentral lists this long non-coding RNA (21654 nucleotides) under Triticum aestivum (bread wheat). Its description in RNAcentral is "long non-coding RNA (TAES_LNC004397)". Lineage: Eukaryota; Viridiplantae; Streptophyta; Magnoliopsida; Poales; Poaceae. The record is from RNAcentral.
CCGCGCGGAACGGAUCGAAGGAGACACAGAGACAGGCAAGAGGAGAGGAGGAGCCCGCCGCCUCCUCGACGCGUGCCGCCGGAUCUUCAAUGCCCAGCCACUGUCGGAGCUUCAGCGCCGGCCUCUUACUCCGGCACCCUAUCUAUCCCAGGUGAUUCCUCCCCUCUCCUCCACUCCUCCAUCCCCUCCCCUACAAACCCUAGGGUCACGGACGUCUGCCUUCUUCCUUCAUGGCGUGUUGUUCUUGUCCAGCCCCAUCUUAGUAUUAAGUGAUUUGAUAUUGAUUGACACGCCGUUGGCCGAAUUUUAUUAGAAGCCAGUACUAGAUUCUGCAGUUCGUCGGCCUGGAGCAGACAACUUCAGAUAUCACUGUAUUUUCCUGAGCAGAACCAAUGUACUUGAUGCUUUAAUCAUGAUAGAACCCACCAUGAUAGAACUUAUGUACCUAAGCAGAUUUAUUAGAAUCCACCAUACAAUUUAUUUCUACAGAUUUAUUAGAACCCACCAUGGUUGAACUGACGUACCUGAGCAGAUAGUGAGAGAUCUUGUCAUCUCUUCUCCUGGUAUGAAGAACUUAAUUGUGGAGUUGAUUGAAGGUACACAAUUUCACAUUUGUACCUGUGGAGGUGCGCUUAGUAACGAUAGUUCUUGGCUUCAUUUACCAGAACAUUGUCAGGUCCUUGCAUGAUCCUUAUUUGACCACAUUGCUGGUUAGUCCUUUUAACAGAACAUGGAAACCAAAAUAUGUGCUCUGUAUCCAUGCUUAUCAUGUGUGUGCUCUCGAAAUCAAGCUUCAUGCUACAACGACCAAUAAAACUUAAACCAACAGUCAUCUGAAGUUUUGAAGAUGCCUCACCAUGUAGUAUAGGUAGCUAACUGAAGAUAAAUUAAUGAUUUAUGUGGCAUUGGCGUUAUAGAGUCCAAAGGUUUUUCAUUUCAGUUAAAAAUUAAGAGGACGAUCAACCAAGUUCACAUGCUUCACUAACCUGAAUAAACAGAUAAUUUUGCAAGUACUCCUUAGUAUAAAUAGUAGAGGCAGGGUUUUCUCAAAAGUAUAUAAAAAUAAAAGGAAGCACUAACACGCUUCUUAGGUUUGACUUAAGAAAAACUAACACACUUUUUAUUUUAAGGCCGGGAGAGUAGUAUAGAAAGGAACCACUGGAACUCUAGAUGUGAGCAUGGAGGGAGAGUGGACAAGAAUGCAUCGCUUCCCAAGUGCCUGCAAGUUUUGUGAAUUAUUGUGAGUCCAAAUUACCCCAUCAGAUCCAUUACUACUACUAUUACUACUAUAGUGUGCUUUGCAGUUUUGAGCAAUUUACUGAAUAUACUAGCGCAUUUGCAGAAUACGGCUACAAGUCUGCAACACUGGCACAAUGACAAAGUCCAAAUGCCAAUUGUGUUGGUUCCAGCAUUGUCAAUCGAUCUGCACAUAGCACCGAACAGUGUGGAAGACACGCAUUACAUUUCAAAAUAGUAUGUCCCUGUACUGUGAUCUGAAGUAAAACCCUGAAAUAAUUGUUUUCAAGUUUGUAUCCAUGUAUUUUAUAUCCUUUUCGUCUGGAUUUCACUGUUGAUCCAUACUGACUACAAAUGUCUUCUUCUACCUAGCAUUGUUUGACUGUCAAAUUCCAUAAGAAUAUUAAGUUUAAAUUCCAUAUCUGUUUGACAUGAUUAAUUAAUCUGGUUGUUUCAUGUCUAAGCAUAUUUGCUUGCAGGAUUUCUGCACUUAUUUUUUCCACCUACGUACUAGUAUAUCUUGUUGUUCAUAGAUAGAUUAAUGUAUGGAGAGAUUAAUUGUCUGAACUAUUAUAGAUGUCCUUAUCAUGUUGCCUAGUGGAGCCACACGUGUUCAGGUCCUCGCUAUCCUCGCCAAUGUUUCGUAUAUGAAGGGGAUAAUCCUGGUAAUUUUUGGGUGUGGGAAUGCUCUUGCUAUGAAUGAUGACUUCUAGUCUUUGCAUUUGUGUGUAUUUGUAUGUUGUAAUUCGCUGAGCGAACUGUUGUGAGUACAGAGUAAUAGAACAUAGGUUGGCUUAUUUGGCUUUCUUGAACGUCAUCUGUCUAACCUGUUGGCCUAUUUAAAAAGCUCAUCUCCUUUUGUUUUAGCAGGUUCUUUGGCAACUAGAGAAGCAAGCUGGACAAACUUUUGGCCAUUCAAAAACUCGAUGAUCAUGACAUCGUAAGAGCAAUUAAUCUGUAUGACAACAUCAUUCUCAUCCUUGCUUGGUCUGUAAAAAUAUAAUUGAUUGUGAGCUAUUGCACAAGCACCCUGUAUAGCAUUAUGUUUGGUGUUGUGAAAGAUCAUAUUGCUAUGAAGAUAUUAUUGGUUUCAAGUCAUGCUACUAUGAGAGAUUAUGUUGUUGUGAUGUGACUGAUAUUGAUGUGAUUAGAUAUUGAUUCCAAGUCAACCAAAAUUAUGUUCUUGAUGUGAAGAACUGCUGUCACAUUUUUAUUAGGUGUCAUUCACAAUUUUAUAGCAAGUUUGUCUAGCUAUGAUGCUAUUUAACCUGUAAAGAUUGUAUUUUUAAUAGGUUUACACCAUUUUAACUCAAUAGGGAAAUCCCUGCCUACCAAACAGUGUUUUAUAUGGAGGGGUUGUGGCUGGAGAGGGAUUUGAGGUUUGAAGGGGAUCUGAGGGGAUUGGGUGGAAGAGGAGGAUUCACCAAAUCCCCUGAAAUCCCCUUCUCCCCAAACCUCUCAAAUCCACUCCUAUCAAACAAAGCCUAAGUGAGACUGUUCUUGGCCGAUCCGCUUUCUCCUCUUCUCUUAUUUUUUUAUUCUCAGUUAAAAUUUGCUGAUGUUGGAUAGCUCCCAUCAGGUUGCUCUUUUGAUUCACUGCAUUCAAGAUGCUCGUCCUAACCUGAAGCAACACCUGCACCUGAUGCUUUGACAGGGUGACCAUCAACGGUGAUUGAGGGUUAGCAGGGCCGAAGGAUUUACUGCACCAGGGAGUAGGCGAGAUCAUCGAUUUGGACGCUUCCGUCGAAGUUGUCGUCCGUGCAGUUGAUUUGGUCGUGGACGUGGAUUUUGUUAGAUGUGUAUAGUUCAUUGUGUACAUUCCCAUUGUAUAAGGGGCUUGUCUGCACUUUAUCACACCUGUAUAUGUACUUGCCUUUGGCCCUCAGUAAAGAGUUAGUUGCUCAUUUAUCCAACAUGGUAUCAGUUGCCAGGUUCCUCUUCCUCCCCCGCACGCUGCAGCUCCGUGCCUAGUUUUCCCGUCGCCGGCCACCUCCUCCCCCGUCGCCGGCCACCUUCUUCCCGCCCGGCUGCGACCUGGCAGCGCCCCGGUCGUGCUCUACCCGCCCUGGCCGCGCCCCGGCCAAUCUCUCCCUGCCCAGCUGCGUCUCGCCCACGCCCCGGGCUUCGCAUCUGGCUGGCUGCGUCCCGCCUGCGCCCCGGGCUCCGCAUCCGGCUGGCUGCUGUUGGCCGCGCCUCGCGCCCAGCCUCUGCAUCUGGCUGGCUGCUGCUGGUCGCGCCCCGUGCCCAGGCAACGCAUCUGGCUGGCUGCUGCUGGCUCCUCUGCUGCCGCAGGAGCAGCCCAGGGCCGGCCCUCCUCGUGGCUUCCCGCUUCCUCCCGAUUCCCCACUCGGGGCUGCAUCGGGCUAGCGUGAGGCUCUCAGCCCCGAUCCAGAUCGGGGAGUGUUAAAAAAAACAGAGGAGAAAACAGAGUUCUCUCAUGUCUUCUUCGGGCUAUGUUGCUAUACCUCGGUGCUCAGUGAUCUUCGAUGGCACCAACUAUGCUGAGUUUGUGGGAUUCAUGCGCAUCCAUAUGCGUGGUCUUCUUCUCUGGGGUGUUCUUUCUGGUGAGGUUCCCUGCCCGCCAUGCCCUGUCGCGCCUGUGGCCCCAAUCCCACCGGUGCCGCCGGUACUUGCUCCUGAGGCUUCCCAGGCUGACCGGGAUGCCGCCAAGGCCAUUGAUGAUGUUGCAGUUGAUGCCUACGAUCAGCAGGUAUCUUCUUACUCCGAUGCUCUUUCGGCGUACCGGGAUGAUCUAUCUGCUUACACUCAGUGGUGCAAUGAUGAUGCUCGUGCUGCUGCUGUUCUUACUGCCAGUGUCCUCCCUCAGUUUGCUUCGGAGUUCAUGGGACUUGGCACAGUUGCAGCAAUGUGGUCUUACCUUUGUCAGCGCUAUCAGCCCUCUGGUGAUGCUCUCUAUCUCUCUGUGGUGCGUCAGGAGCACGCCCUCCAGCAAGGUGAUUCCUCUGUUGAUGAGUUCUACUCACAGUGCUCUGCCAUCUGGCGUCAGCUUGACUCUCUUCGAACAGUUGUUUGUGGCACCUGUCGUUGCUGUCAGACUACUCGGUCUGAUCUGGAGUUUCAGCGGGUCCAUGAGUUCUUAUCUCGUCUCCGCUCUGAGUUUGAGCCCAGACGUGCUCACUUGCUUGCUCGUGGUCGUGUUCCAAUCUCGGGGAUGCUUGCUGAGCUUCGUGCUGAGGUGACCCGCCUUCGUUCUGCUGGUUUGCUGGUGGUCCCGUCUGUGUUGGCUGCUCAGGCUCCUGUGUCGUCUGCUCGGCUCACCGCUCCACCACUCCUCCCCACACCUUCAGGGGGGUGAGUCGCCCUGCUUAUACUGAGAGGGGCCGAUCACGCCGAGACACCUUCUGUGGCUACUGCUCUCGGCCCGGUCACCCAGAGUCUGAUUGUUGUGAGAAGAAGCGAGACCAGCGGCGCUCCUCUUCCAGUGGGACUCCUGGAUCUUCCUCGACUCCGUCACUCACUGACCAGGACAUUGUGAGGCUCAAACGCCUCCUGGCUUCCUCAGGCUCUUCGUCAACUGGUUCAGUUGCUGCUGUGACUGCAGCCACUUCUCCACCACCGCAGGCAUCUACACAGUCAGGUACAUUUUCGUGGGUUUUGGAUUCUGGAGCCUCCUUCCACAUGUCUUCUGAUUCUUCUGGGUUGUCUUCUCUCCGACCUCUUGAUUCGCCUGUUAAUGUUCUUACCGCCGAUGGCACACCUCUUCCUGUUGCUAGUCGUGGCAUUCUUUCCACUCCCUCCUUUUCUGUUCCUAGUGUCUCGCAUGUUUCUCGUCUUACCAUGAAUCUGUUUUCCGCUGCUCAACUUACUGAUUCUAGUUGUCGUGUCAUUCUUGAUACCGACUCUUGCUCCAUUCAGGAUCGACGCACCAAGGUUUUGGUUGGUGCUGGCCCCCGGCGCCGUGAGUCAGAGGGCCUUUGGGAGGUUGACUGGCUUCGUGUUCCUUCCGCUGCCACCACUCUUGCCAGCUCCCAUGCUCUUGCUGCCUCUUCGCCUGCGUCCUUCCAGCAGUGGCAUCAUCGCCUUGGUCACAUCUGUGGCUCUCGCUUGUCUUCGCUAGUUCCUCAGGGCCUCUUAGGGUCUGUAUCUGGAGAUGUCUCCUUACCUUGUAAUGGUUGCAAACUUGGCAAACAGACUCAGUUACCUUAUCCUACUAGUGAGUCUGUAUCUCAGCGUCCUUUUGACUUAGUUCAUUCUGAUGUCUGGGGUCCUGCUCCCUUUGAUUCGAAAGGUGGUCAUCGCUACUAUGUUUUGUUUAUUGAUGAUUUCUCUCGCUACACUUGGCUCUACUUCAUGAAAUCUCGUAGCGAGGUUCUCUCUAUAUACAAACGAUUUGCUGCCAUGGUUCGUACCCAGUUUUCCACGCCCAUUCGUACUUUUCGUGCUGACUCUGCUGGAGAGUAUAUCUCUCAGCUGUUGCGUGGUUUUCUUGCGGAACAGGGAACCCUUGCCCAGUUCUCAUGUCCUGGUGCUCAUGCCCAGAAUGGCGUUGCCGAACGUAAGCAUCGUCAUUUGCUUGAGACGGCUCGUGCGCUGAUGAUUGCUGCUUCUCUUCCUCCCCAUUUUUGGGCUGAGGCUGUUUCUGCAUCCACCUAUCUCAUCAACAUUCAACCAUCGCAUGCUUUGCAGGGUGGUAUUCCUCUGGAGUAUCUCACUAGUCGCUCUCCUGACUACUCUGCUCUUUGGAUGUUUGGAUGCGUGUGCUAUGUUCUCCUUGCCCCCCGAGAACGCACCAAACUGACUGCUCAAUCGGUUGAGUGUGUUUUCCUUGGUUACAGUGAUGAGCACAAGGGCUAUCGAUGUUGGGAUCCCGUGGGUCGUCGCUUGCGUAUCUCGCGUGAUGUGACUUUUGACGAGUCUCGUUCCUACUACCCACGUCCUUCUUUCUCGAGUUUCUUUGUGGAUGAUCUCUCUUUCCUUCUCCUUCCUGAUACACCCUGCUAUGUGCCUCCUGUGUCAUCUCUCCCUCCAGCACCUCUCAUUCCUUCUCCUUCACCACCUACCCCAUCUUCUCCAUCCUUGUCCUCCACCUCUCCACCAUCAUCUCCCGUCCGUCGCUCUCUCUCACCAUUCCCUCUCCACUAUACUCGUCGGUCUCGUCCUGAAGAAGUCUCCCCUGACGCGCCUUCCACCUCUGGUGCACCUCUCCUCACGCCUCCCCCGGUUCACAACCUCCGGGCUCGGCCUCGCCCCCCGCCUGAUCGCUACUCCCUUGAUCGGUACGGUAUCUCUGUUUUGACUGAGCCCACUUCCUAUCGCACUGCCAUGACUCAGCCUGAAUGGCAGCUUGCGAUGGCCGAGGAGCUUGCUGCCCUUGAGCGCUCUGGCACAUGGGAUCUGGUUCCCCUCCCUUCUGGUGUCCGUCCCAUCACCUGCAAGUGGGUCUACAAGCUUAAGACUCGCUCCGAUGGUUCUCUUGAGCGCUACAAAGCUCGUCUUGUGGCCCGUGGUUUUCAGCAGGAGCAGGGGCGCGAUUACGAUGAGACAUUCGCUCCUGUGGCCCACAUGACCACUGUCCGCACUCUUCUUGCUGUGGCUUCUGUUCGUCAGUGGUCUAUCUCUCAACUUGAUGUUCAGAACGCUUUUCUCAAUGGCGAGUUGCGUGAGGAGGUUUAUAUGCAGCCACCCCCGGGGUACUAUGCUCCUGAUGGUAUGGUCUGUAGACUUCGCCGCUCCCUAUAUGGUCUCAAACAGGCCCCUCGAGCCUGGUUUGAGCGCUUCGCAUCUGUGGUGACCGCCGCUGGUUUCUUGCCCAGUGACCAUGAUCCUGCGCUGUUUGUUCACACGUCUCCUCGUGGUCGGACUCUUCUCCUUCUCUAUGUUGAUGACAUGAUCAUCACAGGUGACGACUCGGAGUACAUUGCCUUUGUUAAGGCUCGCCUUCGAGACCAGUUCCUCAUGACUGACCUUGGUCCUCUUUGAAGGAAAUAUGCCCUAGAGGCAAUAAUAAAGUUAUUAUUUAUUUCCUUAUAUCAUGAUAAAUGUUUAUUAUUCAUGCUAGAAUUGUAUUAACUGGAAACAUAAUACAUGUGUGAAUAUAUAGACAAACAGGGUGUCACUAGUAUGCCUCUACUUGACUAGCUUGUUAAUCAAAGAUGGUUAUGUUUCCUAACCAUGGACAAAGAGUUGUUAUUUGAUUAACGGGAUCACAUCAUUAGUUGAAUGAUCUGAUUGACAUGACCCAUUCCGUUAGCUUAGCACCCGAUCGUUUAGUAUGUUGCUAUUGCUUCCUUCAUGACUUAUACAUGUUCCUAUGACUAUGAGAUUAUGCAACUCCCGUUUACCGGAGGAACACUUUGUGUGCUACCAAACGUCACAACAUAACUGGGUGAUUAUAAAGGUGCUCUACAGGUGUCUCCAAAGGUACUUGUUGAGUUGGCGUAUUUCGAGAUUAGGAUUUGUCACUCCGAAUGUCGGAGAGGUAUCUCUGGGCCCUCUCGGUAAUGCACAUCACUUAAGCCUUGCAAGCAUUGCAACUAAUGAGUCAGUUGUGAGAUGAUGUAUUACGGAACGAGUAAAGAGACUUGCCGGUAACGAGAUUGAACUAGGUAUUGGAUACCGUCGAUCGAAUCUCGGGCAAGUAACAUACCGAUGACAAAGGGAACAACGUAUGUUGUUAUGCGGUCUGACCGAUAAAGAUCUUCGUAGAAUAUGUAGGAACCAAUAUGGGCAUCCAGGUCCCGCUAUUGGUUAUUGACCGGAGACGUGUCUCGGUUAUGUCUACAUUGUUCUCGAACCGUAGGGUCCGCACGCUUAAGGUUUCGAUGUCAGUUUUAUUAUGAGUUUAUGAGUUUUGAUGUACCGAAGGAGUUCUGAGUCCCGGAUGAGAUCGGGGACAUGACGAGGAGUCUCGAAAUGGUCGAGACGUAAAGAUCGAUAUAUUGGACGACUAUAUUCGGAGUUCGGAAAGGUUCCGAGUGAUUCGGGUAUUUUUCGGAGUACCGGAGAGUUACGGGAAUUCGCCGGGGAGAAGUAUUGGGCCUUAUUGGGCCCCGCGGGAAAGAGAGAGGGGCUGCCUAGGGCAGGCCGCGCGCCCCCCCAUGGCCUAGUCCGAAUUGGACUAGGGGGAGGGGCCGCACCCCCUCCUUCCUUCCCUUCUCUCUUCCCCUUCCUUGUCUCCUACUCCUAAUACAUGGAAGGACUCCUAGUUAGACUAGGAAAGGGCGAAUCCUACUCCCGGUGGGAGUAGGACUCCCCUAGGGCGCGCCAUAGAAGAGGGCCGGCCCUCCCCUCCUCCACUCCUUUAUAUACGGGGGUAGGGGGCACCCCAUGGACACACAAGUUGAUCAUUGAGAUCGUUCCUUAGCCGUGUUCGGUGCCCCCCUCCACAAGAUUACACCUCGGUCAUAUCAUAGCGGUGCUUAGGCGAAGCCCUGCGACAGUAGAACAUCAAGAUCAUCACCACGCCGUCGUGCUGACGGAACUCCUCCCCGCGCCUCUACUGGAUCGGAGAUCGGGGAGCGUCAUCGAGCUGUACGUGUGUCAAGAACUCGGAGGUGCCGGAGUAACGGUGCUUGGAUCGGUUGGACCGGGAGGACGUACGACUACUUCCUCUAUGUUGUGUUAAUGCUUCCGCUUCGGUCUACGAGGGUACGUAGACAACACUCUCUCCUCUCGUUGCUAUGCAUCACCAUGAUCUUGCGUGUGCGUAGGAAUUUUUUUUGAAAUUACUACGUUCCCCAACACUCUUCGCUAUUUUCUUGGGAUUGAGAUCUCCUCGACCCCUGAUGGCUUCUACAUCUCCCAAGAAAAAUAUAUUCAGGAUCUUCUUACUCGCGCUGCUCUUGGUGAUGAGCGCACUGUUGUGACUCCUAUGGAGCUCAAUGUUCAGCUUCGUGGCUCUGAUGGUGACCCUCUUCCUAAUCCCACUCGCUAUCGUCACCUCGUUGGCAGCCUUGUCUAUCUGGCUGUUACGCGCCCUGACAUCUCCUAUCCUGUCCACAUCCUGAGUCAGUUUGUUUCAGCCCCCACCUCUGUCCACUAUAGUCACCUCCUCCGUGUUCUACGAUAUCUUCGUGGCACGAUCUCUCAGCGACUUUUCUUUCCCCGCUCCAGCUCUCUUGAGCUCCAGGCCUACUCUGAUGCUACCUGGACUAGUGAUCCCUCUGAUCGACGCUCGCUGUCUGCUUACUGUGUUUUUCUUGGUGGCUCUCUUAUUGCCUGGAAGACAAAGAAGCAGACUGCAGUUUCUCGCUCGAGUACAGAGGCUGAGUUGCGAGCCAUGGCUAUGUUGACCGCUGAGGUGAUUUGGUUACGGUGGUUACUUGAGGAUUUUGGUGUGUCUGCUACUACCUCAACUCCUCUCCUGUCCGACAGUACCGGUGCUAUCAGUAUUGCGCGUGACCCGGUGAAGCAUGAGCUCACCAAGCACAUCGGUGUGGAUGCCCACUUUGUGCGUGCUGCUGUGCAGGAUCAGACUCUCGCUCUUCACUAUGUGCCCUCUGAGUUACAGUUGGCUGACUUCUUCACGAAGGCACAGACUCGAGCGCAGCAUGGGUUUUUUCUCUCCAAACUCAGUGUUGUUGAUCCACCAUGAGUUUGAGGGGGGGUGUUAGAUGUGUAUAGUUCAUUGUGUACAUCCCCAUUGUAUAAGGGGCUUGUCUGCACUUUACCACACCUGUAUAUGUACUUGCCUUUGGCCCUCAGUAAAGAGUUAGUUGCUCACUUAUCCAACAGAUUUCAUCUCCCGUAGGCCUGCAGUGGCAACAUUGUUCCAAGUUGAACUGCAGGUCCAUAUGUUCCCUUUUGCUAACUGUAAUAUUUCCCCUUUAUCUUAGCCUUUUCCUAUACUUGUGCCACUCAACCAAUAUAAUGUACUUAAGGAAAUGCUUGUUAGCUGUAAAUAUUUCUUAUUUUUUCCUUAGUUUUUUUUAAUAUCAAGUGUUUUUUAAUUGAUCUAUACGUGUUGAAUGAGGUACAGAGUAGUCGCUACUCCCUCCGUUUCUAAAUAGAAGCCCAUCUAGAGAUUUCAAUACGAACUACAUACGGAUGUAUAUAGACAUAUUUUAGGGUGUACAUUCAAUCAUUUUGCUCCGUAAGUAGUCCAUAGUGGAAUCCCUAAAAGGUCUUAUACUUAGGAACGGAGGGAGUAAUAAGUUAGUGUACAUUUUAAAAAUGUAACUAUUUCCAAUUAUUAAUGCAUUUUUGCAAUAUUUCGCCAAAAAAAUAGAUAAUAGCUUAAUAUCAAAACAUGUUUGAUAGCAUUGUACGUACGCAAUAUAAUGUCUUGAUGCUUUCACUAUUUUUUAUUAAAUAAUAAGCUUAUAGAAUCAAAUAUCACAUAAUAUAGAUUUCUGAUGUUUGGUUAUGAAGUCUUUACACCUGUUGAUGCAAGUUUGCAUUACUUUGGUAGGGUAAGUACACCACAUUUGACCUGCCAUAUCAUGUUAGCAUACUUAAGUCAGACUUUCUUUGUAAGAGAUUUUGCAGUGUAGUAAGUUCCUAUAUAUGUAAUUCAUACGUAAUAGUCCACUGGCCUCAUCUUGUGAAAGAACAUCAUGCUGAAAUUCUGUUUUUUGUUCAUACUUUUAGAAUAUUUCUGUAUAGACUAUAUUCUUGACCACAUCAUCCUGAUUGCUAUCUUCAUCAUCUACCAUUACCUGCCGUCCCUCCCUUUGUGUUACUCUUGAGAAGGCUACGUAUAAUUGUCCAUGUGUGAAAACUUGUUUAGGUAGAUAUAGUCCUACCUUGUUCAGAGAUUGGCCCUGGCUUUUGUUGAUAGUCAUAGCAAAGCAAACUGAUGUAGGAUAUUGUCUCCUUUUUAGAACAAAUGGCCAUGCUGAUUCAGUUGGUGACAUGACUAUUCUUUGAAUAUAUACCUUUUCUCCCGAUGUGUUCCGGUUACUAUCCGUGCUUCGAUGAAUUUUCUUCCAAGUUGAAUAAUUAUCAUCCUUGUACCAUUGCAUAAUCCAGCACUUUGGUUGAUAUUACGUAGUAGCAUUACAUGUAUGCCAACUUUUAAGGCCCUCGACGAUGUGAGGAUCUAUUGAAUCCCUUUUAUCUUCUGUUGUCGACGUAUUAAUCCUGUUUCAUACCUUAUUUCCAGUGUCAUAGAUGUACAAUUGUGCCCACUGUGGUUUAUCUUUACCUUCAGGCAGUACAGUACCUAUUUUGUGGUAGUUUUUCUCAUUCAUUCUAAGAACAUAUGGUCCAAUGCCAUUGUUUAUUUGUUUGUCUGCUUUUCCUCCCAUUGUUGUGAAAGUAAACAUGGAGUUGUACAAUCUGAUAUUUUGCAAGCAGUUUUUUGACCUCUUUCCAUUGUCUUUCCUUAGCAAUUUCGCAAGGUAAGUUGGGGGAUCUCUUAAUGGUGGCAAAUCAACUUUGCCAUGUUGGCAGCAUAGUCCAAAAGAUGGCAUGCUUUUCGCUCUACCUGAAGUUCUUUCUUUGUACCAGAAAAUUGCACCGCAUUGUUAACACUUGCAUUUUGGUUUUCCGAAGUUCCAAAUUUCCACAUCAGUCCUCUUCGAUUCCCUGUUAAAGUUUAUGUAUUUAGCAUAAAUUUAAAUCUUAGUAAUGUCUGGUGUUGUUGAUAAUAUGUUAACUUGAUAGAACUUGUAAUUUUUUAUAUUUUGUUCUCAUCGUUUUCGAUGUAGUAGACAUUUUAUUACUUUUUUGUAGUACACGCACAUAACAGAAAAUAUCAGGUCCACUAAUCUCCAAAUUUUAGAUGCUGAUUGUAAUUUAUUUUUUGCAUACCUCAUAGUUUUAUCAGCCGGGCGAAUCUCCUUCUUUUGUUGAUGGUUCUGCAACCCUCUUGGUUUGCAUUUUUCUUUUCCUAUGUAGUCUUGCGUCUUUUGCUUUUUCUGUUGAGUUACUUUUCCUGCAUAAACAUAAAUACUAAUUAUUAGAAGUGAGAGAUUACGUUACGUCUGGCAAAAGGAAUUUAUUACUCCUCGUGUUAACUUUAAAAUAUAUAUAUUUUGCCUUAGCUACAGUUCAUUGAUACUUGUAGCAUUUUAUUGUGAUUUAGUAGGCCAUUAGGCUACUCAUAGUGGGGAGUAUCAUAUACUAGUAUCAUGCAUAUGAUACUAGUGUAUGAUACUACCUCCAUAGUGCAUAGUAUCAUAAAGUAGUAUCAUAGAUUACCAUAUUUAUUGCCAUGCAUGACACAAAAGUAGCAUAUCAUUUAACAUGAUACGGUAUCUACCUAUGAUACUCUGACCCUCUCUCUCUUCUUCAAUUGUGUGCCACAUAAGCAUGUUUGAUAGUCCCAAGGGAAUGUUACCGGUUAUAUUACCCCCACUAUGGCCAGCCUUACAAAUUUGCCACGCUUGAAGAUGAGGAAAUGCAUGGGCGGGUGGUCUUUAUAAUCACUAAGUUAGUGAAGGUAAUUUUUCUCUAUUUAGAAAGAUUUUAGCACAUAGAUUGCAUAGUUGAUGUGUAUAGCAUAGGCACGGUACAUAAUGUUGCUUCCUGUAUACUGUAAUACCAACCAUGCGUCAUUAAUCUUAAAGUUUAACAUUUGAAUUGAGAAUGUAAUUAAUCCAAAUGAAUGAUAACAUGCAUAAGAGAGAAACUAUGUGAAGAUUUUCUUACUUCACAUGUAUCAAAGGUUGUCCUUUUUGUAUGUCUGCGGAGCCUGGCACAUCUCCAUGUAUGAUUGAAGACCUUCUGUUUCUCUCUCUUGAAGUGUCAUUCUCCUUUCUGAUCUUGCGAUUUUGCUGAUUGUCUGGGUUUGCAUCAAUAAGAUAACAAUUUAAAAUAUUGUUUUUCUCGUCGAAGCUAAAAUCAAUUAGGAACAUUAAGUGCAUAACUGGAGUUGAUUUUUUUUAUAUUAUACUAUGAUAGUAGAUAUCAAAUAUUCAAGAUUAGUAUCGGAUCACCUUGUUGGAUUGCAUAUUUGAUUUGUUUAAACCAUCUCGGUAGGUUUCUAACAUUCCUUGGUAUGCGGCCCACCUUUUCUUUUCAUUGUGUAUUCCUGCAUAAUGGAGAGUGCAAAUAUACAGCUAAAGUGAAUGAUAUUAUUAAUAUUGUUACAGAAAGUGGCAGACCUAGAAAUUGUGGUUUGCUGAGGCAACAGAUGACGAUAAAGAUCAAUGUACUCGUUGUACAGGGGAGUACCCUGCCCCGGCACUUGAGACGUUGGUCAUUCGCCCCAUUUGUUACAGUGCUAGGUCUACCGUUGAUUACAUAUCAGUGUUCAAGUAUAUGAAGAUUCAUAAUUUUUAUUACUUUUUACCUUUUAAAGUAUAUUUUUUGUCGUAGAAUUAAAGGCGAUCAAUUUUCAAGACUAGUGAUUUUGUAAAAAAAAUUAAUGAUAAAGAGGAUUUUAUGUUCCAAUCAUCACGUGGUACAUAAAUACAGUAUUUUUAGUAGAAGCUGACUGAAGCAAUCUAUACCUGAUUAAUGAGGUUUUCUUUUUGGACAAAAUUAAUGAGGUAGUGAUGCAAAAUAUAAUGGGAACCAUCAUCUGAUCUACAAACUCCAUGUGAAUUCCAUAUUGCAGUGCCCUAUGUUUGUUAAUGGACUGAGCCCUAUGGAAGCCGUCCCACAACCCCAAAAUAUAGUUGAGUAGUACGCUAGAAUUAGAUUGUAAUUGAGGAUUAAUAGAGAGGGAGAAGAAAUAUACCCGAAUUGAAAAGUUGUUUGACUAUGUUGUCGUACGUCAAAUUGAAAUCGUAUGUUCUGUCGAUUUUGUUCGUGCUGCUGAGAACAUAUUGAGUUUUAGGUCUAUUCUUGGCAUGCCAGUUGUUUAUAUAGGCAUGUCUUUUCUUUCUGUAACCUAGUUCUGUACGACUUAAGGUAUUCUUUCACAUGAGUUUUCGUAUUGAAUUCUAAUCCAACGUGCUUGUAAUUUGGGCCAUCCUGGACUUAUCAGCGUGGAAGUGUUGUUUCUGGCCCACAUGAUUAGGUUCAGUCACGUCAAUCCUUAAGGUUUCCCUAGAAAUCAACGUGGCAUGCACCAUCUCUCUCGCUCUAUCUCUCAAACGCACACACUUCCACAAAUCCAUAACCUCUUAGGUCAUAAUCUAUACUUUACCAUGUCAGGACCCAACUGAUGAUAAACCAACAGUUCAGUUCAUUUAAAUCCCUAGCCUUUGGCGCGAAGCAACCCUGGCCGUCCAUCGCCCAUCCGACGCUCCAUCUCCGCUCGUACCGCUUCGCGAGUAAGUGAGGCUCCGGAUCGCGUCCAAGUGGCAUCUAACGGCUACCAGCAACCCACGGGUCGCUGUUCAUUUUCCGGCAACCAUCUAUAGCAAUCCCCUGCUUUCGUUUUUCUUUUCUACUUUCACCAACUUGUAAGGCUAUAAAGCCAGGGCUCCAGCUCGAUCUAGGGCAUGAAAGUUUGUUAGGGUUUCCCCCUUCCACCGCCAGUGUUCCUGGCUGGCCUUAGGUUCCUCCUGGAUUGUGCUAAACUCUCUGAAUUAAGCCUGUGAAUCGUGCUAGUUCGAGUGAAAUUCUUCUCUGUUUCUCUGAAUAUUGUUCUUCAGACUCCUCUAGGUCUGACAAGUGGUAAUCAGAGCUUGGUUCCUCUCCUUGGCGGCGCGAGAUCCGGUGCCGAAGUGGAGUUGGAGGCGCCAUAAAAUCCUCCAUUUCUCACCGGUGUUGUUGGGCGGCGGCGGUUCCCCGGCGGCGACUGGUGGCGGCGUGAAAUUCGGUACAGGUUUGGGCGCGGGAAAAGGUUGCAGAAACACAUUGUUUCUGCGGUAAAAUCCCUCCCUCCCUCCCAGAUCCGGUGUACUUCCGGCGGCGCGGCGUUGGCGGCGGUGCAGGCGGCGGUAGGAUCGAAGGCCAAGGUCGGGUUGCAGCCCCAGCUGUGGUAAAAUUCCUCCCGUCGCCGGCUGAUCACGCGCAGUGAGGUUACUAAGCUCCCUGCUAGUGUAAAAACCCUCCCUGCAGUCUUCGUGCUAGCAUGACAGGCCCUGAAAAUUCCUCCUCCACGGAGAACUUGGAGUUCCAAUCAUUGCAACUGGAUGUCAAAACCCUGCAGCGAAACAGGGAAACUGACAGACAAGACUUCGAAGAUUUCAGAGACCAUGUUGCCACCAAUUUUCAAACCUUGCAGAAAACCUUGGGCGAACUACAGGGCCCUUUGAACAGCUUCAUUGCACGUUUUCCCAAACCCAGGGAAACUCCUCCCAACCCUCAAGAUGUGGCACAGGGUAGUGGACAACAGCAAACUCCCCAAGGUCCAAAUCAUGCACCAGCCACGGUCCUCCAGACUCCUCCUACUGUUGGAUCUGCCACGUUAGUGGACAAGAACACUGGAAAAGAGCUUAACUUGGAUGGCAGCAACCGAGUCCCUUAUAGGCACCCUCACUUUGCUGCAAGUAAACACCCAAUUCCUGAAAACAGAGUUCACACUGCUGUUAACCAAGUGCAGAAUGGUCAACAGGUGGUUCAGCUGGACAUGGAGCAAGCUGAACAAAUCCCACAACAGGAAGCUAGGGGUGAAGUUGGGCAGAGAGAUCAGGGGCAAGACAACAGGAGACAACUAGCAAUUGUAAAACCAGCCAAGUAUAACAUUCCUAAAUUUGAUGGUAGCAGUACAGAUUCCUGGAUACAAACCAUUGAGCUGUAUUUUGAAGCUGCUAGAACCCCUCUAGAGCAGAAAACAGAGAUUGCAGUAACUUACCUUAAAGGCCCAACAAUUGAAUGGUGGAGAGGUACGGGCAUUGUACCCAACACCCUGCCUUGGUAUAGAUUCUGUAGGCUCCUGGGUGAUAGGUUUGCUGAAACAUCUGCAUGUGACAAUGUUAGAUCUUUCCAUGCACUUACCCAAACAUGUUCUGUCAAUGAUUACAUCCUCAAGUUUGAGCAGGCCAUGAACUUAAUGAGAAGGGACAAUCCAGCUCUACCCCAAGAUUACUACAAGGCCAGUUUUAUCUCUGGACUGAAUGACAAUAUACAGCACCAUGUACAAUGUCAUGAGCCUGCUGACUUACAAAAAGCAAUUUGGCUUGCCAAAAGAAUGGAACAAGCACAACCACAAAAAAGAACUACUGUUCCUACCUCUGUUUUCCGACAAGUGAGAAGGCGGGUGCAGUUUGACCCAGGAAAACCAGGACCCACCAACAUAGCUACAGUAAUACAACAAGCUAGACUAAAGGGCACCUGUUACAAAUGUAAAGAGCCUUGGUUUCCAGGCCACAAAAAGGUGUGCAAAUUGGCAAAUCAAGCACAGAUACAAGCACUUCAAGCUGCUUGCCCUGAGGAUGCUGAGUUGGUUUACUAUACUGAAGAUCUGGAUGAAGUUGAUGUCCCUCCCCCUGUAGAAAGUGAUGAUACCCCCCUCCAGAUAUCUAUGCAUGCUCUGAUGGGUAUAAAAUCCACAAAGAAGCUCAGUUUUACAGUGACAAUCAUGAUAGGGGACACUCCAGCUACUGCACUCAUUGAUAGUGGCAGUACUGCUACAUUCAUUACCCCUAAGAUUGCUCACCUAGCUAGAUGUGCUCUCACUCCUACCAGAAAAAGAAAGGUGGUUGUGGCUAAUGGAGAUACUCUUUGGUCUGAAUUCAUUGCACUAGAAUGCCCAUUCUCUCUGCAAGGAACACAGUUCUCCACUGAUCUCAGAGUACUACAGCUUCAGGGUUAUGACGUUAUCCUAGGGGCAGAUUGGAUGGCUUCUUUCAACCCAGUAGAAUUGGACUUUGAUGAAAUGCAGGUGAAGAUCACCUUGAAAACUGGUGAAAAGAAAAUUUUUAAAGAUGAAAGCUUACCAUCUGUAGCUGUGCAAGAAUUGGAAACUGUGGAGGAACUCUCUAAGGAACCUGUUUGUGGAGCUGUCUUAAUUCUGAACAGAAUUGCUGACACCUUAGUUCCUCCUCCUGUCCAGCAACUUUUGAACAAAUACACACCAGUUUUCAGCACUCCAUCUGAUCUCCCUCCCAAGAGAACUGUGGAUCAUGCUAUACCUUUUACUCCUGAAGCCAAGAUUAUAAACCAGAGACCUUACAGACUCCCACACCACCAGAAAGAUGCUAUGGAAACCAUUAUCAAGGAUAUGAUCAAAAACAAAGUAAUUAGGGACAACUCUAGCCCUUACUCCUCCCCUGCACUCCUUGUUAAAAAGAAGGACAUGACUUGGAGAUUGGUCAAUGAUUUCAGAAAAAUCAACCAGCAAACUGUUAAGAACAAAUACCCUAUCCCUGUUAUAGAAGAUCUCCUGGAUGAAUUGAAAGGGGCAACAGUUUUCACUAAACUGGAUUUAAGAAGUGGCUAUCACCAAAUCAGAAUGCAGGAAGAAGAUAUUGGAAAAACUGCUUUCAGUACUCAUUGUGGCCACUAUGAGUAUUUAGUAAUGCCCUUUGGACUUACUAAUUCCCCAGCUACCUUUCAGCAGCUAAUGAACACAAUUUUAGCACCUUACUUGAGAAAAUUUGUGUUGGUUUUCUUUGAUGACAUCCUCAUAUACAGCAGAAACAUGAAGGAACACUUGGUACAUCUCCAACUAGUCCUUGAGGUCUUGCAGUCCCACCAACUAUAUGCUAAAAUGAGCAAGUGUACCUUUGCUCAACCUCAAGUGGAGUACUUGGGCCAUAUCAUAAGAGGUGAUGGAGUAGCUACUGAUCCUACCAAAAUUGAGGCAAUCUCCUAGUGGCCCACCCCAAAAAAUGUAACUCAGUUGAGAAGCUUCCUUGGUCUCACUGGUUAUUAUAGGAGGUUCAUUCAAAACUAUGGGGUCAUCUGCAAACCCUUGUUUCAGUCUUUGAAAAAGGACAAUUUCAGAUGGAAAUCUGAACAACAAGAAGCUUUCAACACAUUAAAACAUAAGAUGACCCAAGCUCCUGUCCUGGCCUUGCCUGAUUUUUCUCAGCCUUUUAUCCUAGAGACUGAUGCCUGUGCUUAUGGAAUUGGUGCAGUGCUCAUGCAGGGGGGCAGACCAAUAUCCUACUUCAGCAAAACCAUUGGCCCUAAAGCUGCUGCCUUUUCAACAUAUGAUAAAGAGGCCAUGGCCAUAAUUGAAGCUUUAAAACAUUGGAAACAUUAUUUUGCUGCCUCCUCAUUGAUCAUAAGAACUGAUCAGCAGAGUUUGAAAUAUAUACAAGAACAAAAGCUUACUGAAGGGAUCCAGCACAAGUUACUAGUAAAGCUAUUGGGCUACAACUUCAAGAUUGAGUACAAACAAGGAAAGAACAAUAAAGUUGUUGAUGCUCUCUCUAGAGUGAAAUACAGAUUACAAUCCUUGAUUGCUUCUCAAGUGAAACCUGCCUGGAUAUCCGAGGUCAUUUCCAGUUAUGCCCAGGAUCAAAGGUGCAAGGACCUUUUAGCCCAACUGGCUACCUCUGCAACUGCUGUCCCUAACUAUGCCCUCCAACAGGGAAUUCUGAGAUACAAGAACAGAAUUGUAAUAGGCAAUGAUUCCUUCCUCAGAACCCAGUUAGUGUCUGCCUUACACAAUUCUGAACUUGGGGGCCAUUCUGGACACAGAGCCACCUACCAGAGAGUUAAACUCCUCUUUCACUGGCCUGGCAUGAAGCAGUUCAUUGUGGAUUAUAUCAAGCAAUGCCCCACAUGCCAAAUCAACAAACCAGAACACUGCAAGUAUCCGGGGCUGCUGCAACCUCUCCAUGUCCCUGACUUUGCUUGGUGUCACAUUAGCAUGGACUUUGUCGAAGGCCUACCAACUUCUCAAAACAAGAACAUGAUUUUAGUUGUUGUGGACAGGUUCACCAAAUAUGGGCACUUUAUACCAAUGCAGCACCCCAUCACUGUUAGUACUGUGGCCAAGGCAUUCACAGAUAACAUCUUCAAGUUACAUGGUCUACCCUCAGUUAUAGUUACUAACAGAGAUGCCAUUUUCACCAGUAACCUUUGGCAAACACUCUUCAAGAAACUGGGUGUUAAGCUGCACAUGAGCACUUCCUACCACCCGUAAUCUGACGACCAAACUGAAAGGGUCAACCAAUGUUUGGAAAAUUAUUUGAGGUGCAUGGCCUUCCUACAACCUAAGAAGUGGAUGAACUGGCUCUCUCUCGCUGAAUGGUGGUAUAACACUAGUUACCAUAUAGCUCUGCAAAUUACUCCCUUCCAAGCACUGUAUAGUAGACCUCCAAACAUGAUCUCUGAAGCAGCCCUUUACCAUACUGAACAAGUACAAGAAUUUUCUUCAGUACUCACUGCAGAACAAACAGCAGCUCAGAUCAAGACAAAUCUAUUGAAGGCUCAAACUCGAAUGAAACACUAUGCAGAUAAAAAGAGAUCUGAAAGAACUCUAGAAGUGGGUGACAUGGUGUAUCUCAAGCUCCAGCCUUACAGACACACUACGCUGAGUGUCCAUCGAUGUCUCAAACUCCACUCCAAGUAUUAUGGCCCUUUCCGAAUACAAGAGAAAAUUGUCCUAGUGGCUUACAAACUGCUGUUACCGGAGGACUGCAAAUUGCAUCCCACAUUCCAUGUCAGCCAACUGAAAAAGCACUUGGGGCCACAGGCCAUCCCACACCCCAAACUCCCACUCAUCAAUGCAGACGACACAAUUCUUCUGGAACCUGAGCGGCUCCUAGAGAGAAAACUCAUCCCCAGAACUCAGGGUGAUAUCCAAAUACCAGUGGUGCGCUGGCUCAUCAAAUGGUGUAACAUGGAGGAGAAGGAUGCUACUUGGGAGGAUGCAACGUUUAUCCAAAAGGUUUUCCCUGCAUUUCAGCCCCGAGGACUGGUCUGAAGUCGAUCGGGGGGAGUUGUCAGGACCCAACUGAUGAUAAACCAAUAGUUCAGUUCAUUUAAAUCCCUAGCCUUUGGCGUGAAGCAACCCUGGCCGUCCAUCGCCCAUCCGACGCUCCAUCUCCGCUCGUACCGCUUCGCGAGUAAGUGAGGCUCCGGAUCGCGUCCAAGUGGCAUCUAACGGCUACCAGCAACCCACGGGUCGCUGUUCACUUUCCGGCAACCAUCUACAACAAUCCCCUGCUUUCGUUUUUCUUUUCUACUUUCACCAACUUGUAAGGCUAUAAAGCCAGGGCUCCAGCUCGAUCUAGGGCAUGAAAAUUUGUUAGGGUUUCCCCCUUCCGCCGCCAGUGUUCCUGGCUGGCCUUAGGUUCCUCCUGGAUUGUGCUAAACUCUCUGAAUUAAGCCUGUGAAUCGUGCUAGUUCGAGUGAAAUUCUCCCCUGUUUCUCUGAAUAUUGUUCUUCAGACUCCUCUGGGUCUGACAUACCAGGGCAUCUUGUGCGUCACCGUGCGGUGUGUGUUGAUGAUGUACAAGAUUUCUACUCUGCCGAGCAUCCAAUCCAGCACCCAUCUAGAAGUUUUAUAGAAGAAGGUUUUCCUUUAGUCUGUUUUAUAGUGAUUUAAUUUAUUCUCUUGUUUAUAUAUCAAUUUUUUAUUUGAUUUUGACAGGUGAUAUCUUAUUUGUGACAUGAAGAGUAAGAGAGCCACAUGUCAAUCAUAAGGAGGUGUUUUUGGGAACGUUUAUAUGUUCCAAUCAUGCUAUGUAUCUUCUACAAUUUUAUUGACAAUUGGUCUUUAUGCUUGUUUCAGAUGGAGCUGCUGGCAUUAUGACAGGAAACCACUAUUAGCAUCUGAGGUUGAUCAAACAUGGAAGCCAUCUAUGUAUAUUUAUCUAUAUCUGUUUGUACAUAAUGAAACUUGUGAGCUAACACCUGAAAUAUUUUUAGAUUAGCACUGCCUACAGUAUAAUCUAAGUAUUAAUGAUCCAUUAAUAGGUCUGAUCUAUAACAAUAGGUCUGAUCUAUAAUAUGAACACUAUCUGAUGCACCAUAUACGUUUCUCUAUAUUGUAGAGAGCAACAUUCAUGGCAUUAGCCUUCUGUAGAUGGGUGAAAAGUAUGAAGAACCUGACACCAUUAAGACAUGAAGCCACACCUAUAGGAUUCUACAUAAUCAACCUUCUGAGGUAACAUGUCAAAUAUUUUUAGAUGAGGACUGCAUAGAGCAUAAUUGAACCAUCAUUGAUCCAGUAAUUGGUAUGAUUUAUAAUUUCGUUCAGAUAGAACUUACUUGAUGUUGCCUGAUUGCUCAAUGGAGCUGUCUUGUGGCCGCUGGAGGAAGACAACUCCAAAGUGCUAAUUCUGAAGUUGAUCUCGAAGUUUGAGUCGCUGGAGGAAGAUGAUGUGGGAGGAAGAUGAUGUAGAAGUUGUAACUUAAAAUCUUUGGACAAUGAACCUAUGAGGUCAUGGGGAAGGUUUAUAUGGACGGUUAAGUUUCUCAUGUUUGCACGAUGGAAAAAAGUUUUUUUGGAUCCCGUCUGGACACAUUCUAUUUGGAGAGAGAUAUGAUAGUUUUGGUUUGUUUAGGCACAUUAGAACUUUUUUUUUCUGGGAUGGCCUCAUGGUUGUAGUUUUCUUGAGAAAAGCUGAUGGCAUGGUCCAUCCUGUAUGUGUGUGAUGGCCCAACCUAUAUGUUUUUAUUGUUUAAUGAUGCAUGAUGCAUGCGUGUUUCUGAUCCCUAACGGGAUGGUCCAUCCUAUUGGGGUUGUGGUUGGAUCAUGAAAAUCAACGUGAAGUCAUC